GCUCUGGUAGCACAAUUGGUUAGUGCGUUGGACUUUUAUCGCCGGCCUGAAAUAAGGACCUCUAAGGAAUCCAAAGGUUGCGGGUUCGAGUCCCGCCUGGAGCG
Cephalotrichum gorgonifer is the source of this 104-nucleotide non-coding RNA. NCBI's taxonomy places the organism in Eukaryota, Fungi, Ascomycota, Sordariomycetes, Microascales, Microascaceae. The record is from the annotation of a GenBank genome assembly.